Molecule: long non-coding RNA, 2757 nt
Filed under: Daphnia pulicaria
Lineage: Eukaryota; Metazoa; Arthropoda; Branchiopoda; Diplostraca; Daphniidae
Description: uncharacterized LOC124315697, transcript variant X5
Source: RNAcentral
GUUUUUACGUUGGUUUAGAAGGCAACCCAGCUAAGAGUUGGGUAAAGUUUGAUUUCUUACAGGUAAAUUUGUGCAAAUUUGUAAAUAACGUAGAUAAUAUCCUUGUCCCAUUGCUGCUUAGAGUUUUGUGACAUGAAGAGUGUGAAGUGAAUAAUCUGCAAUGUGUAUGUACAUGUAACAGAACUGCACACGAGUACAGAUAUAUAGAUGUGGCAAACACGAAUGUUAUGAAUUUCGUUUUGGGGGGUCAAUGGAUUUGGCGCUGGUUGCUGUUACUGGCCUUUUGCGACGUCUUGAUAUCAGUUUGGAAUUAGAGCUGCGAACUCUGGGGGGAAUCCUCACUCAUACUCAGGUAACCUUGAAGUCAACAUAUGUGAGGAGUUUUCGAUUCGUUGUGAUUUUUGCAUGCAAGUCAACCUGCAGGCAGGUCGGCCAGUUUGUCCAGACAGGAUGUCCUUCUCGCUUGAAGGUCAAGAGAAACAUUACGUAAAACUGGCAUGCGGUGGUGUAGAGGUUGGGUGAGAAUGACACGUGUUUCAUCAUUAUCAAGAAGGUAAAAUAGCCGCAAGGGUAAGCUAUUUGGUAUUCACUUUGAAGUCUUUGAUAUUGGUUUUUGUAGACCCAUCCCCCAAUCUGCAUAAGGAAAGGCCAGUUUGCAUUUUCUUCAAUCGAAGGUCACGGAGAUCAUUAGGUAAAACAUUUCAUGCAGUGAUGUAGAGGUUGAGUUAGAACAGGACGUUUUGCAUCAUUAUCAAGAAGAUAAAAUAGCCGCAAGGAUUAAGAGGAGGGGUGAGAAAAAGUCGUAUAAAAGACGAAAGAAAAAGUUGACAGGGAUCAGUCGAGCGAGUAUCUCCGACACGGUAAGAGUUGCAGUGCACUAUUGUUAUCCACUGCAUUCUUCAUCGUAUUGUCAAUUCUCAGUCAUGGUAAAUUAUGGCGUCGUGCUGCACUUGUGUAUUGUAUCGUUGAUGGCUGGUUUCAGCCAUGAUGUACCGAUGUCUCCUGGGUAUGGCGGAUAACAAAUCACGACGCCGCCGCUUUACUACACAACACACGACACGACCAGUUGCUACACCGAGGCCCCCAAGUACUGCACCAAGGCUCCAGAUUAUUGUUCCACAAAUGAUGCUGCCCUGAGCUACUACACCGAAUCCCCGCUAUAUUAUUCUUCCCCGAGCUACACUACCAAGGGUCGAUUACUACACCGAUGCUCCGAAGUACUACACCACUAAGGUAAUGGAGUACUGUACAACUACAUAUAUCAUGGGGAGAAAAGGCGAAAGAGAUCAGUCGAGUGGUCAUCUCCGACACGGCAACAGCAACUGCAGUGCCAAGGCUCAGUAAUACACCUCUACUUAUAUUGCUCCGAUACUCUACACCAAAGUACCUGAGUGCUGUGCCGAGGGCACUAAUUUUUACACCACCAAGGCACCGGAGUACUACACUGAAACAUACGCUGCUCCAGCUUAUUACACCGAGGCUCCCCAAUACUACACCACCAAGGCACUGGAGAACUACACCACUACAUAUCAUGGAGAGAAAAGGUGAAAGAAUUCAGCAGACGAGUGAGCAUCUCCGUUACAGCAACAGGAACUGCCGUGCACUUAGUCAUCAACUUCAUUCUUCGUCCUGUUACAAGUUUUAAAUAAAGUAAACAAUGGCGUCGUGCUGCUGUUGGGUGUUGUAUCGUUGAUGGCUGGGUCGACCACUGGUGUAUUGUCUCCUGGGUAUGGCGGGUACCAAAGCACAACACUGCCGUACUGUCUUACUAUUAAGCAUCAACUUCCGCUGCUCCAGCUUACUACACUGAGGCUCUCAAGUGCCACUCCAUCAAGUCUCCAGAUUGUUACACCACAGCCCAUGUUGCCUCAAGCUACUACGCUGAAUGUCCGAAGUAUUUUUUCCCCAGCUACACUACCAAAUGGUCGAGUACUACGUCGAGUCGCCCAAGUUCUACAUCAUUAAGGCACCGGAGUACAAAAACGGUCGAAUACUACACAGAAGUAUACCAUUUACCCCAGUCAUGGUAUACUAUGGCGUUGUGCUAUUGUGAAUGUUGCAACGGUGAUGGUUGGUUCGACCACUGGUGUGCCGAUUUCUCCUGGGUAUGGUGGGCGUAAACAUUCCGCAACAACCGGUUAUUACACUGAGGCCCUCCAAGUGCUACACCACAAAGGCUCCAAAACGUUACACCACGACUUAUGCUGCCCCGAUGUUACUUCGCAGAAGCUCCGAAGUAUUUUCCUUCCCCGAGCUUCACUACCCUCACCACGCCGCUUACUGAAUAACAACGUCAACACCUUACUAUACGAAGGUCUUCAGUACUACGCCACAAAGGCUCCUGACUACUACACCGAGGAUUGUCACACCACUGAAGCGUCCAAGUACUGCACUACAACCUACGUUGAUCCAGCUUAAACCCCGAAGGGAGCCGAGUACUACACCACGAAGGGAGCCGAGUACUACACCACGAAGGGAGUGUCACGAUACACCAAUACUUCCGUUUUCUUCACUACAACCUACGCUGCUCCAGAAUACCACACUGAUGUUCCCAAGUACUACACCAACAAGGCAGCCGAGUAUAAUAGCCCAAACUACGAUUCCGCAAUUUUCCACAAGGAAAUUCCUAAUUACUAUAGCCGAACUUUCUACUCGAGGUUGUUUAUGUUUAUCGGUCAUUUUCACGGUAAUUGGUCGCUGGGAAUUAAUUGUUGAUCUUAAAUUGAGAAAAUAAAAGUUUUAAUACGGGUAACUGUU